This 253-nucleotide ribosomal RNA is filed under the name uncultured bacterium. RNAcentral describes it as "partial 16S ribosomal RNA". It matches the Rfam family "Bacterial small subunit ribosomal RNA", at positions 524 to 776 of the family's 1533-position model. The record is from RNAcentral.
UACGAAGGGUGCAAGCGUUACUCGGAAUUACUGGGCGUAAAGCGUGCGUAGGUGGUUUUUUAAGUCCGUUGUGAAAGCCCUGGGCUCAACCUGGGAAUGGCAGUGGAUACUGGAAAGCUAGAGUGCGGUAGAGGGUAGUGGAAUUCCCGGUGUAGCAGUGAAAUGCGUAGAGAUCGGGAGGAACACCAGUGGCGAAGGCGGCUACCUGGACCAGCACUGACACUGAGGCACGAAGGCCAGGGGAGCGAACAGG